ACUAACUGGUGCAAUUUAAGUAUAACUUAUUAUAAGUGAGAACUAAAUCAUUAGUAAAAUAAGUAGUAAUUCGUACUUUUUGUAUAACGGUUCUUCCAUCCCGAAACGGUAAGAUCUACACCAAAAAUACGUCUUAUGUGGCAAAAUAAGAGUUGAAUUGGGCUGUAGAGGUGAAAUUCCUAACAAUUAUCGUAAUAUCUGGAUCAACUUUAAAGGCAUAUAGUGUCAAGAAGAUAAAUAAUAAGUGAUUAGAUUUAUUAUAGGGAAUGGCAUAAACUAUUUUAAUCGCUAGGACUAACCUCCACCUUAAAAUUACCUUUACAUAAUUUAAAAUAAUUAGCCUUAACUUCUGGAGUUGGGGGCAACUUGGUCAGCUUAUGAAGAAAUUAGUAUAUUUAAAAAUGGAGUUUAAGGAACUCGGCAAAUCACUAUUUCGACUGUUUAUCAAAAACAUAUCCCUUAGAAAAAAAUUAAGGGUGGUGCCUGCCCAGUGUAAGGGAAUAAAUGGCCGCGGUACUUUGACCGUGCUAAGGUAGCAUAAUCACUUGGCUCUUAACUGGGGUCUGGAAUGAAUGGCAUUACGGAAUUAAGCUGUCUCUAAUUUCAUAAGUCAAACUUACUAAAUAGGUGAAAAGGCCUAUAGAUGCUAAUAGACGAGAAGACCCUUAGAGUUUAAGUUAAUAUUUUGUUGGGGCGACAUUGGAUCAGAUAAACAUCCAUGGACUAUAAGACGAUUUAAAUCUUACUAGACAAACUACCUAAGGGAUAACCAGCAUAAUUCUUUAGAGUUUGUGACCUCGAUGUUGGACUGGGAAGCACUAAGGCUAGCUGCUUUAGUUGGGGAUUCUGUUCGAAUUGUUACUCCCACAUGAUCUGAGUUCAGACCGGGCGCAAGCCAGGUCAGUGUUCUAUAAUCUGAAUUCGUCGACAAGCUUCUCGAGCCUAGGCUAGCUCUAGACCACACGUGUGGGGGCCCGAGCUGCGGCCGCUGUUUCAUAAAUCACAAGGCGCCGUCCCCAAAAAAACCAAACUCCCAACCACCUAGUUGUGAUCUGAGUUCAGACCGGCGCAAGCCAGGUCAGUUUCUAUCUUUUGUUUUGACUUAUUCUAGUACGAAAGGACCGUAUGAGUUUUU
This 1135-nucleotide ribosomal RNA is filed under the name Bulla sp. TLT-2006. RNAcentral describes it as "large subunit ribosomal RNA". It matches the Rfam family "Bacterial large subunit ribosomal RNA", at positions 573 to 2705 of the family's 2925-position model. The record is from RNAcentral. Lineage: Eukaryota; Metazoa; Mollusca; Gastropoda; Cephalaspidea; Bullidae.